Molecule: long non-coding RNA, 903 nt
Organism: Chrysemys picta bellii (western painted turtle)
Lineage: Eukaryota; Metazoa; Chordata; Testudines; Emydidae
Source: Ensembl
UGUGUCUGUCUGAGUAGAUCCUUCUGCAAGAUCAGUACCUUAUACUGCAAGCUCUCUAGGGCAUAGAUCAUGUCCCAGUGUGAGUUGUGUACAACAUUCUGUAUAUUUACAGUGCUGGUUUAUAAUUAUAUAAAAUGUAUCAAUACCAUUUUAAGAUGAGUCACUUGUUACUAUUCACAUAGGGCUGGAUCAUGCUCCUUUUGAUGUCCAUGGUAAAAUCACUAGCAGACUUCACUAGGAACGGAAGAUGAAAGCACCAGAUUCAAAGGUAAAUCAAAGGAAAAUGACAAUCCAGAGGACAUGACAUCCCUGACAGCACAUCAGCAGUCUAAAUGUUUGACGGAUCCAGUAAGCCACUUCAAAGGCACCAACAUGAAUGCCCUGUAACCAGCUGCUCCUUUACGGAAAAAUUUCUGAAAAUGCCAUCCAAAGAGGAAAAAAGAAACAGUUGGACCUGUUUGAUUUUGGACCAGAACUAUACUUACCUACAUGCUUCCAGCUUUCAUCCAGACCACAUCACACAAUCCAUUGUCUACAGCCAAGCCCUAAGAUACAACCGCAUUUUCUCCAAUCCCUCAGACAGAGACAAACACCUACAGGAUCUCCAUCAAGCAUACUUAAAACUACAAUACCCACCUGAGAAGUGAAGAAACAGAUUGACAGAGCCAUAAAUCACCUACUACAGGACAGGCACAAAAAGAAAGUAACAGAACGCCACUAGCCAUCACCUUCAGCCCCCAACUAAAACCUCUCCAGCGCACCAUCAAGGAUCUACAACCUAUCUUGGAGGAUGAUCCCUCACUCUCACAGACCUUGGGAGACCGGCCAGUCCUCGCUUACAGACAGCCCCCCAACCUGAAGCAAAUACUCACCAGCAACUACACACCACGCAACUGAAACACU